GUAGGUGGCAAGCGUUGUCCGGAAUUAUUGGGCGUAAAGCGCGCGCAGGCGGUUCUUUAAGUCUGAUGUGAAAGCCCACGGCUCAACCGUGGAGGGUCAUUGGAAACUGGAGAACUUGAGUACAGAAGAGGAAAGCGGAAUUCCACGUGUAGCGGUGAAAUGCGUAGAGAUGUGGAGGAACACCAGUGGCGAAGGCGGCUUUCUGGUCUGUAACUGACGCUGAGGCGCGAAAGCGUGGGGAGCAAACAGGAUUAGAUACCCUGGUAGUCCACGCCGUAAACGAUGAGUGCUAAGUGUUAGGGGGGUUCUCCGCCCCCGUUAGUGCUGCAGCUAACGCAUUAAGCACUCCGCCUGGGAGUACGGCCGCAAGGCUG
RNAcentral lists this ribosomal RNA (374 nucleotides) under uncultured organism. Its description in RNAcentral is "partial 16S ribosomal RNA". It matches the Rfam family "Bacterial small subunit ribosomal RNA", at positions 527 to 896 of the family's 1533-position model. The record is from RNAcentral.